AAGAGUCAAAAGUAAAAAGAGGCAAAAGGCAGAAGGUACAAGCGGAAGAAAAAGGGGUGAUUUGACCCCUACUGUUCAUCGUCUUCCCAAAUUGCUGCCCACGUUGCUAUUCCAGCCGCUGUAGCCUUUCCUCGACGAGUCUUCAACGCCUCCGCCAGCCACGACGAUCCGACGCCCUCUCUGCUUGACACUGCAGCGCCUCCAUCUCCGAGCACCACCGCGAUGUGCAGCUCCCUCUGCCGGACCUCGCCGCAGCAACACCUCCGCGAGCACCACCUGUGAGCGUCA
This 288-nucleotide long non-coding RNA is filed under the name Eucalyptus grandis. RNAcentral's name for it is "long non-coding RNA (EGRA_LNC007947)". Lineage: Eukaryota; Viridiplantae; Streptophyta; Magnoliopsida; Myrtales; Myrtaceae. The record is from RNAcentral.